This 433-nucleotide ribosomal RNA is filed under the name uncultured bacterium. RNAcentral describes it as "partial 16S ribosomal RNA". It matches the Rfam family "Bacterial small subunit ribosomal RNA", at positions 29 to 507 of the family's 1533-position model. The record is from RNAcentral.
AACGAACGCUGGCGGCAGGCUUAACACAUGCAAGUCGAACGCACCUUUCGGGGUGAGUGGCAGACGGGUGAGUAACGCGUGGGAAUCUACCCUUCUCUACGGGAUAGCUCCGGGAAACUGGAAUUAAUACCGUAUACGUCCUGAGGGAGAAAGAUUUAUCGGGGAAGGAUGAGCCCGCGUUGGAUUAGCUAGUUGGUGGGGUAAAGGCCUACCAAGGCGACGAUCCAUAGCUGGUCUAAGAGGAUGAUCAGCCACAUUGGGACUGAGACACGGCCCAAAAUCCUACGGGAGGCAGCAGUGGGGAAUAUUGGAAAAUGGGCGCAAGCCUGAACCAGCCAUGCCGCGUGAGUGAUGAAGGCCCUAGGGUUGUAAAGCUCUUUCAGUGGGGACGAUAAUGACGGUACCCACAGAAGAAGCCCCGGCUAACUUCGUG